UCCAAGUGUAAGACUGCUCUUGCCUUUAUUCAUGAUUCAUACUACCAGCCAAGCUCAGUAGGUAAGAGACAGUUGGAGUCUGCAAAGCGGGAGAAUGCUGCAUUCUUCAUCUGGACUGUGGACAACAUGGGGAUCAUGGACUACUUGCUCCAGUUCAUGUGGGAAUGGAGUGAUACUUAGAAGCCGCAAGUGUCUGAGGUCUUUUUCAAAGGAUAAGUGUGUGGGAAAGACGCGGCAGUACAAAACUUGUCAGUCUAUG
Nanorana parkeri is the source of this 259-nucleotide long non-coding RNA. RefSeq lists it as uncharacterized. Lineage: Eukaryota; Metazoa; Chordata; Amphibia; Anura; Dicroglossidae. The record is from RefSeq and is a predicted model, not a curated record. The transcript has 3 exons.